This 468-nucleotide ribosomal RNA is filed under the name uncultured bacterium. RNAcentral's name for it is "partial 16S ribosomal RNA". It matches the Rfam family "Bacterial small subunit ribosomal RNA", at positions 28 to 507 of the family's 1533-position model. The record is from RNAcentral.
GACGAACGCUGGCGGCGUGCUUAACACAUGCAAGUCGAACGGAAAGGCCCUGCUUUUGUGGGGUGCUCGAGUGGCGAACGGGUGAGUAACACGUGAGUAACCUACCCUUGACUUUGGGAUAACUUCAGGAAACUGGGGCUAAUACCGGAUAGGAGCUCCUGCUGCAUGGUGGGGGUUGGAAAGUUUCGGCGGUUGGGGAUGGACUCGCGGCUUAUCAGCUUGUUGGUGGGGUAGUGGCUUACCAAGGCUUUGACGGGUAGCCGGCCUGAGAGGGUGACCGGCCACAUUGGGACUGAGAUACGGCCCAGACUCCUACGGGAGGCAGCAGUGGGGAAUAUUGCACAAUGGGCGGAAGCCUGAUGCAGCAACGCCGCGUGCGGGAUGACGGCCUUCGGGGUGUAAACCGCUUUCGCCUGUGACGAAGCGUGAGUGACGGUAAUGGGUAAAGAAGCACCGGCUAACUACGUG